CCUUGUUAAGGAUAAAGACAUUCAAAUGACAAGUCAGCGUUUCCCUUCAUAUCAGAAACAUAAUGAGAGUGCCAGGCGUUUCCCAGUUAAUCCAUUUAAGACCUUUAUUAUCUUAUUAACCUUGAAUCAAAAAGGUGUGGCAGAAGCAAAGAUAGUAGAGAAAGAGGUUAUAUUCAAUGCACGCAAAGGCCAGAGCUGGUCAAAUUUGAAUAAAACGGUUAAUUAUAACGCUUAACCUCGCUGUGAGAGUAAAUGUAUUUGUAAGGUAACACUGCACGAAAACUACAGGAGCAACUGUGCAUUUUUCUCUUCUGCAAACUAGCAGACCACUUUGCUAAGGUCUCUGGCAGGCUACAGAGUUAGCCGAAACGGCUAACUUAAAUCCUCCAGUGACUUAAGUUGGAGGAAGAUUUUCCAUCAAGUCUGGGCAUCCGAUGAAACUGAAGCACCUUCCAGUAAAAGUGGAGUAGUGUGUGUUCAUAGAGAACGAUGCCACGCUUGCAGUCCGGUGUGUGGAAGCAUUUUACCCCAGCCAUCAAAGAUGGAAGAGAGACCUUCAUGUGCAACUACUGCUCAAAGACAUACACAAAGAACGCGACUAAGAUGCAGAUGCAUUUAGACAAAUGCAAGGAGUACUCUGUGGUUUCGCAGCAGUCGCCGGGCCCAGAUGGGAGCUCCUCUGCCUCCAUCCCUGUUCCCUCCUUAUCAUUCUUGCCAUCUGCCACUCCUGGGGGACAGUUCCUCAUUGAUUCUGUGGACCAGCGCAGCCAGGCGUAUGCCGACGAGUGCCUGGCGAGAGCUGUGUACGCCACAUCUUCACCCCUCACUCUCACAGACAAUAUUUACUGGAAACGAUUUUUCAGUGUGCUUCGGCCGGCUUAUUGUCCGCCCCCUAAAGAGGCUCUUUCCUCACAUCUGUUGGACUGUGAGUUUGACAGAGUACAAAGCCAGGUUCAUGAGAGCAUAGGGAAAGCAGACUGCGUCGCCAUCAUCAGCAGUGGCUGGUCUAACGUGAAAGAAACUGGGACUAUUAUCUAUGCUGUUGCUACUCCCGUACCGCUGUUUUACAAAUGCACGAUGACAAAGGAGCAGACACACACAAGCGAAUUUAUUGCUGAGGAACUUAAAGGCGUCAUAAAUGAAGUCGGCUCACAAAAGGUUUUCGCUGUCGUCACCGACGAUGUCCCGGAAAUGAUGGCAGCGUGGGCUCAAGUGGAGGAAGCUUUCCCGCACAUCUCAGCUAUUGGCUGCACAGCGUCCGGUGUCGAGCGUCUCUUUGACGACAUAGUGGCGCAGCCGUCUAUGAAGUCACUGUGCAGGAGAGCUGAGCAGGUGGUGAGGUGUGUUCAAGAACAGCAAAUGUUAAGUGAGACUUUUAGGUGCUGGCAGACUACAAAAAUAAGAAACCACACUUUUAAAGGGACAGCACUGGAACUGCCCUCUGGCACAAACUGGACUGGUGUGGUUAACAUGUUCAGCAGCCUCCUCGAGGGUCAGAACUCUCUACGAGAGAUGGCAGUCUCUACCACACUGGAUAUUGAAGUGACUGUCAGGGCUACCUUGCAGGAUGCCGCGUUUUGGAAAGGGCUGAGCAGCAGUCGGAACUUACUGUACUUGAUUGGGAAUUAUAUUGAUUUCUUGAAAAGAGAAGAUGCCGCACUCUCUGGUGUUGUCGACAUGUUCAGUCAGCUAAGAUACGUCAUCGGGACUUCUCUGUCAGCAUCUGUGCUGCACAGCGCCGAGCAGAAAGCGGUCAUGGCAUCAUUAGACAGGUGUCAGGAGUUCUGCGUGAAACCUAUCCACGCAGCAGCGUACAUGCUCGAUCCAAAGCACGUCGGACAGCAGACGCUCACCGGGGAGCAGAUAAACAGCGCUUACUACGUGAUAUCCAACCUGUCGCACCAUUUGAAUCUCGACGAGGGUAAAGUGCUCGGCAGCUUUGCCAGGUUCUCGGCCAAGCAGGGACUGUGGAAGGGGGCCGGAAUAUGGAGCUCGUGUCAGCACGUGUCCGCAUCCACGUGGUGGAAAGGCCUGUGCUCUUCUGAGCCGCUGUCUGCCGUAGCCUUCGCUAUACUCCAGAUCCCACCGACAACAGGUGCGUGCGAGCGCCUGUGGCAGCACCUCCGUAGUACGAAGGUGAAAGGCUUUGUCUCACCGGAGAGGGUGCAGAAACUUGUCGCAGUGCAGGCAAAUCUCAAUCUUUUAGAGCCAAGUGACUUCGACUAUGCUCCACUGGAGAGUGACGAAGAGAAAAAGGCUUCAUUUCAAUCAGAGUCUCACCAGUAAGAAAAAUGCCUUACAGUGUAAUAGAAUACAACUAUUAGACUAGAUGUAUUCCUUUCAGUGUACAGGAUUUGAACUACUCUAUAAAAGUAAGUAAACUGCACCGUGCUCAUGUUUCUUUAUUCAAUCCAAGGCUUUUAGAGAAAACACCUUCAUAAGGAGACACUGAAUCAGAUGCCUUCAUGUGUUUUAGUGAAUUCAAGUUUUUUUGUAUUACAUAAUCACGUAGUAUGUAUCAACUUUUUAAUCACAACGUAAAAUAUUAACACAACAACAAGGUCAUAUAUUUCUUACAGCAACUAAACCAUGUAAAUAAAACCACUGUAUUUAUUGAAGAUAACACUUUUGUCUCUUUUGCGUUUAUGCCUGCAUGUCAAACACCUUCACCUUCACACACAUUAAAAAGUGUUUCUGCACAAAUGUUCUUCAGAAAUACACCACAAUAAUUUUAACAAGUUAGAUCUAAUCUUUAUAGUGAAGUUGCCAGGUUACCAGCAAUUAUUUUAUCAUCAUUUUUUUUUCCAAUGGGAUGAGCGUAGAAGUAAUAAGCUGUAGAGAUGAUGGUAGUUACGUUUUCUUACUUUGAGGUUUCCACUCUUUCCCCCAAGCCAAGUGGCUGUUGGUCUUACAUUUAAUAGAGUGCUAGUUUCCUUCAAAUAAAAGCAAAUUCGUGAGUUUAAAAGGUUUAGCACCUUUCACUGAACAUUAUACAAUGAAAUAAAAUUAAGUUUUGCAUCGGUUUUUAAAUUAAACGCAUCAUAAAAUAAGCUCUGAUGUAUCUAUGCAAUGAGGCACUCACUGUUUCCUCACUCCAUUACUCCCACACUCUACACGGGUCUUUCCCUCAUCUCUGUCACCACCUCCGCUGUCUUGUGCCAGCGGUUUUGCACCGGGAGGGCCUUGGGACUCCGAGGGCUGAUCUGGGCCUUACCACUAGCGUUAUUAAUCUUUAUAGAAAUGAGCCGGCUCGUCUCUAGAGGUGUCUCUGCUUCAGUGACAGCAGAUCUGAGGCAAUGCUCUCCACUGGAACACUCAGUAAUUCUCCCGCUGCCUCUUCCUUGAACUUCAUACAUUUCUUCUUGCUGCCUGUUGUCUGUUCUUCACCGUGGAUCUUGUAGGCUGUAAUAAUUAGAGAGACUGUUUAUAUCAGGUUACAGAAGAACAGGGCCGUGUUCAAGAUGUGUGCUGUUUAUGCCAGAUGGUGCGUUGGUUGGUUUUUAAAGUUGCCCUUUUAGUGAUUUAGUCAUAUCAAGCUGAGUGCAUGCAAUUACUAAUAUGGUAAUUUUUCUUUUUGGUCAUGGUUUUAUCUGUGUUUCAUCAUUUGUUACAGGCCAACAUGAUCAGUGUCAAAGGCUUUUUGUGUUGUUGGCUCAUGAAGCGCUUCUGUUACAUUCUAACUUUCUGCCUGGAGGUAAAAUGAAAUUCAAAUAUGACACAUAAUUCAAAACAGUAAAAUGUUGUAACUCUGUACACAGAAUAUUUUCAAUUGUCUUACUAAAUUACUGUACAAAAGACUUUAGCCAUCCCGAUUUUUUUUUAUAUUUUCCAAUCAAAAUAGAUCAAGCUUUCUUGUAAUUUUUUUUUUAAAUUAUUAAAUAUUGUUCAGGAGUCGUUCUCCAGGGAUCUUGAAGGACAUUCAAAGCUUUUCUGUAAAUGUCUGCGUUUUGUUCUGUUCUCUGUCAAGAUGAUACCACACUGCUUCAAUACUGUUGAUUUCUGAGCUCUGAGGAGGCCCAUGAAUGCCAAAUACUGUUCUAUUGUGUUUUUCUGUCCAGGUAUGCUCUUAGUCCAUUGGCAGUGUAUUUGGGAUCAUUGUAAUGCUGAACAAAGAAGCUGUUCUCAAUCAGAUGAUUUCCAGAUGGAUCAAAAUUUCACUCUGCUUUUCUGCGUUCAUAAUUCCAUCAAUUUUAAACAAAAUCUCCAACACAACUGCCUGAAAUUCAGCCACAAACCAUGACAGAGCUUCCACUGUGUUUUACAGAUGGCUGCAGACACGCUGCUAAUCUUGUCAAUACACUGACAACAGUUUUGAACUGUUUGAAAUCUGGAUUCAUCGCUUUAUAAGGCCUGUUGCAAGUCUAGUUUUUGAGUAAUUUGGCCUACCUCUACAUUUCAUCUUCCACUUCUCCAGUUUCUCCAAAUUAUUUUAAAGACAUAGCACAUCAUGACAAGGAGUGUGUCAGGUUUUUGGCUAAUGGCUCUUUGGGUAUGACCUUGUUGGUAUAAAAAAUAACAUUUGGUGCCUUCAAACUGAGUUACCUUUGACAUUUUUCAUCUUUUUAAAUAAAGAAACUGAAACAAAUUGUGUUUUUGAGGCAGAGUCCAAGUUAAAAAUGACGUAAACAUCCGAUUUAAAUUCACUCUUGUGCGCAAAAAGGCAGCUAAUGCC
Molecule: long non-coding RNA, 4672 nt
Organism: Oreochromis aureus
Lineage: Eukaryota; Metazoa; Chordata; Actinopteri; Cichliformes; Cichlidae
Source: Ensembl